GAUUAACGCUGGCGGCGUGCAUAACACAUGCAAGUCGAACGAUGAAACUUAGUCGACUUCUUCGGAAAGACACUAAGCGGAUUAGUGGCGAACGGGUGAGUAACGCGUGAGUAACCUGCCUUACACAAGGGGAUAGCCGUUGGAAACGAAGAAUAAUACCCUAUAAAACCAUAAAAGCACAUGCUAGAAUGGUCAAAGUGAUAGCGGUGUAAGAUGGACUUGCGUCUGAUUAGCUAGUUGGUGAGAUAAAAGCUCACCAAGGCAACGAUCAGUAGCCGGCUUGGGAGAGUGUACGGCAACAUUGGGACUGAGACACGGCCCAGACUCCUACGGGAGGCAGCAGUGGGGAAUUUUGCACAAUGGGGGAAACCCUGAUGCAGCGACGCCGCGUGAUUAAGAGGGCCUUCGGGUUGUAAAAAUCUUUUGUAUAGGAAGAAAAUGACAGUACUAUACGAAUAAGGUCCGGCUAAUUACGUG
RNAcentral lists this ribosomal RNA (477 nucleotides) under uncultured bacterium. RNAcentral describes it as "partial 16S ribosomal RNA". It matches the Rfam family "Bacterial small subunit ribosomal RNA", at positions 28 to 507 of the family's 1533-position model. The record is from RNAcentral.